This 733-nucleotide ribosomal RNA is filed under the name bacterium. RNAcentral's name for it is "bacterial SSU rRNA". It matches the Rfam family "Bacterial small subunit ribosomal RNA", at positions 122 to 866 of the family's 1533-position model. The record is from RNAcentral.
CAAUCUGCCCUGCACUCUGGGACAAGCCCUGGAAACGGGGUCUAAUACCGGAUGGGACGUACGGCCGCAUGGUCUGUGCGUGGAAAGCUCCGGCGGUGCAGGAUGAGCCCGCGGCCUAUCAGCUUGUUGGUGGGGUGAUGGCCUACCAAGGCGACGACGGGUAGCCGGCCUGAGAGGGCGACCGGCCACACUGGGACUGAGACACGGCCCAGACUCCUACGGGAGGCAGCAGUGGGGAAUAUUGCACAAUGGGCGCAAGCCUGAUGCAGCGACGCCGCGUGAGGGAUGACGGCCUUCGGGUUGUAAACCUCUUUCAGCAGGGAAGAAGCUUUUGUGACGGUACCUGCAGAAGAAGCACCGGCUAACUACGUGCCAGCAGCCGCGGUAAUACGUAGGGUGCGAGCGUUGUCCGGAAUUAUUGGGCGUAAAGAGCUCGUAGGCGGCUUGUCGCGUCGGAUGUGAAAGCCCGGGGCUUAACUCCGGGUCUGCAUUCGAUACGGGCAGGCUAGAGUUCGGUAGGGGAGAUCGGAAUUCCUGGUGUAGCGGUGAAAUGCGCAGAUAUCAGGAGGAACACCGGUGGCGAAGGCGGAUCUCUGGGCCGAUACUGACGCUGAGGAGCGAAAGCGUGGGGAGCGAACAGGAUUAGAUACCCUGGUAGUCCACGCCGUAAACGGUGGGCACUAGGUGUGGGCGACAUUCCACGUCGUCCGUGCCGCAGCUAACGCAUUAAGUG